This 398-nucleotide ribosomal RNA is filed under the name uncultured bacterium. Its description in RNAcentral is "bacterial SSU rRNA". It matches the Rfam family "Bacterial small subunit ribosomal RNA", at positions 361 to 776 of the family's 1533-position model. The record is from RNAcentral.
AUAUUGCACAAUGGGGGGAACCCUGAUGCAGCAAUGCCGCGUGGGUGAAGAAGUACCCCGGUAUGUAAAGCCCUAUCGGCAGGGAGGAUAAUGACGGUACCUGACUAAGAAGCCCCGGCUAACUACGUUCCAGCAGCCGCGGUAAUACGUAGGGGGCGAGCGUUAUCCGGAUUUACUGGGUGUAAAGGGAGCGCAGGCGGCGUGGCAAGUCAGAUGUGAAAACUCGGGGCCCAACCCCGGGACUGCAUUUGAAACUGCCAUGCUGGAGUGCCGGAGAGGCAAGUGGAAUUCCUAGUGUAGCGGUGAAAUGCGUAGAUAUUAGGAGGAACACCAGUGGCGAAGGCGGCUUGCUGGACGGUAACUGACGCUGAGGCUCGAAAGCGUGGGGAGCAAACAGG